Molecule: long non-coding RNA, 395 nt
Organism: Hypanus sabinus (Atlantic stingray)
Lineage: Eukaryota; Metazoa; Chordata; Chondrichthyes; Myliobatiformes; Dasyatidae
Exons: 4
Source: RefSeq, a predicted model, not a curated record
UGACUUUCUGAUUAAUGUUAAGCCCAGGAUUAUCCGAACAUUGUGUUUGCUUACUGUUCGGAACCAUAAACCUCAGGUGUUCAGACUCGCUGGAAAGGGAAUCAAGCUCAGCACAAGUUAGACCUGCAGUGAGACAUUUAUUGGAAGAAAAGCACAUACCUGGAAGCAGAGCGCGACUGAAGACGAGGGAACAGCAACAAGUGAACCAGCCCGAGGACUGAGAGCACCGACUGGAGAGAACCCAUCUGACUCGGAGAUUCCGGUGAUUCAGUCAGGAGACAGUUUGAACCCGGAACACAGCCUCACUGGGACAGAGUGGUAACAUAACCUGGAGCCGCAGUACAAGAACCCGUAACACUGCCUUACUGGGACAGGGUGGUAACAGAAGCUGGAGC